This 389-nucleotide ribosomal RNA is filed under the name uncultured Glomeromycotina. RNAcentral's name for it is "SSU rRNA". It matches the Rfam family "Eukaryotic small subunit ribosomal RNA", at positions 569 to 965 of the family's 1831-position model. Lineage: Eukaryota; Fungi; Glomeromycota. The record is from RNAcentral.
AGCAGCCGCGGUAAUUCCAGCUCCAAUAGCGUAUAUUAAAGUUGUUGCAGUUAAAAGCUCGUAGUUGAAUUUCGGGGUCAAUACGUCGGUCGUGCCUCGGUACGCACUGACGUUAUCGAUCCCUCCCUUCUGACGAACCGUGAUGUCAUUAAUUUGGUGUUGCGGGGAAUCAGGACUGUUACCUUGAAAAAUUAGAGUGUUUAAAGCAGGCAAUCGCUCGAAUACAUUAGCAUGGAAUAAUGAAAUAGGACGUUCGAACCUAUUUUGUUGGUUUCUAGGAUCGACGUAAUGAUUAAUAGGGAUAGUUGGGGGCAUUAGUAUUCAAUUGUCAGAGGUGAAAUUCUUGGAUUUAUUGAAGACUAACUACUGCGAAAGCAUUUGCCAAGGAU